UCCGUUAUGGUCUAGGUAAGCUCUUCCAUCCACCCGUUUCACCAACAUCAUCUAACCAUCUACAAGUGGCUAGGAUACAUCGCUCUCAUUAGCAAGUGCCGAUGUGGCCGGGGUUCGAUUCCCCGUGACGGAA
Non-coding RNA from Ascochyta clinopodiicola, 133 nucleotides. NCBI's taxonomy places the organism in Eukaryota, Fungi, Ascomycota, Dothideomycetes, Pleosporales, Didymellaceae. The record is from the annotation of a GenBank genome assembly.